CGGAAGAUGAUUAAAAAAAUUAUGGUUUUAACAUAAAAACAUGCGUAAAGUACAUUAUAGGGAAUUUACAUCAGUAACAGCCCAGCGAAGACUGAAAAUGAAUUACAGAAAGGAAUAUCAAGGACAAUAACACAGUUACAAUUUCAAACUUGUCAAUAAGUAACAUAAAACAUGUAGUGCUACUAUUCAAACAGAAGGGCUUGUGUGCUUUUUUGUAUCCACGGCAGUAGCAUUUGAACUUGGCGGGGUGACACUUUGAGGAUUCUCCAAAAGCCCUGGUGGUGGCACGGGGCGGGGAGCAAUGUCCCGACUUGUUCGAAGGCUAGAAUCAAGGAGAACCUCAGUAGGUAGUGAAGGCUGUAGAGACAAGGGUACGGAGUGAGUAUUGGACACUACCUUGAUGGGAUAAACUUCAGUUACUUCCUCAGUGCCCUCAUCCAGGUAUACAACAUCUUGCAUGGUAAGCUGGUGGUAUUCAACAACCUCCCUUAGGAAGCGAUUCUCACGAGCAUAGAUUGAGUUCUCAUGUGCUAAUCGAGCCUUCUCUGAUAAGAGUGUUUCAAGUUGAAGCCGAAUCAAAUCAUCAUCUUCUGGAUUGUCCCCUCUUUCACGAUUCUCUCGAAGGAUUUUAUUUUCCUCCUCCAGCUGAGCACAUCGCUCCUUAGCAAAAGCCAAAUCAGCUUUAACAGUUUUUAACUCUCGGAGAAGAAGCUUUGCCUUGGCAGCCAUAGCCAUUGCAACCUGUUACACAAACCAACAGCAGAUCAUACCUCUCACAAUGAAAACAAAUCAAACUUAGGAUGCAUAUGCUCUCCCCCAAGUAAUUCUACAUGUCUCACAUAAGGCACUUAUAUAGCUUCCUACUAGAUUUCUACCUUCAAGUUUCUGUUGCUACUAUUAAUGAACAUUCUGGACUGUAAAAGGUACCAUCCAGGAGUGUAAGGCGUGUUUGGUUUGAAAUUGGAAACAGUUUCCUUGUCAACAUAUCUAUAUACAGCCCUGUCAUACUCACAAGUAGCACAAAGCCACAAACAUAGCAAAGAUUCCCAGAAUAUCACAAGACCUUAUGUUAGAAAUAAUAGGAUAGUGAUACAAUGAGAGAAGCAUUGGAAAACAAUACAAAUUGAAUCAUCAGAGCGGUUAGUUAGAUUAUAGAUCUAAAAUGUUCUUCUCAAUGGCCAUGCAGAAACCUCUAGGAAGCAGGAUUGAACUAGUAAACAUCUACCACAUGAUAUAAAUUAGACAUUCUCUGCCUUAGAAUUAAAUAAAUGUUAUUUUGUAAUAUGUAGUAGUCAAGCCAAUCUGGCAGUUUCCAAGCCAAACUGGCAGUUUCCAAGCCAAACUGCACAAGUUUAGGACAACCCACACAUGCAAUAAAUUUCCACUAUAUGAACCAGUGACACAGCUGCCACCUUACGUCGCGAGAUGCUUUUAGUUGAAGUUCUUGGUCAGUUUGAUUUUGGGUUUGUAUUUGUGGUUGUUGCCAUGUGCUACCACGACUAUUUGCCUGAUUCUGUGUACCAGCACCACCAGGCUUUUUCCUGAUGUGCUUACGAGUUUCUUGGAUAAUGUCUGCAGUCCGAUUCUCCACCUUAGUAAGACCCUCCUGAAAAAGUAAAGCCCGAUUAUGUGUUUCAACUUUCAACAACAACCAAACCUUAAUCUCAAACUAUUGCAAACUGUAGGGUUAGAUAAUCACCCAAAACUGUCAAUAUGCAAUUAUGACCUGAAUUGCAGAAUAGCCGAUUAUAUCAUUUUUUAUUAUAAAUUGCAAUUAUGUCCAAAUAGCUGCUGAGGUUUGGCUAUAAUGGCAAUCCAUUAUAAAAGAUUGGACAACAACUGGCUAUUUCAAUUGUUCAGGCCAUGAUUGCACGUUUGCAUAAUGUGAUUAGCCCAAAACUAUAAGUUUACUACCCGAGAAUGAUGGCUAAAUGAUGAUUUUUGUGUGGAAGAGCAAGUGCACAAACACACAAAGAUCACCAAAGAAAUCCCAUUUAUUUUGAAUCCAAAGCGUCUACAGAGGCUCACCUCAACAGCAUUACCAACGUAAUUUAAGGAAGAUGAGAUCGCAUUUAGUCCCUUCUGUAAUGUAGGACUGUCUGUUUUUCUCUGACUGUCAUGAUAGGGGUACGGAUUCUGGUACUUGGGUUUAGUUGAAGCGUGAGGAACAUGUUGGGGGGCUCGCCCAGGUGAAUCCACUUGUUGAGGAGCAUUAUCAUCUUCGAGAAUGGAUUUAGCUUUCCUAGCAAGAUUACCCCAAAAUCCUUGUUUGGAUUCAUUUAAAUUUCGCAUUGAAAUGUACUCAUGGGGCUUCGAAUCCUUGGAAGAAGAAAAAGAAGCGGUGCUGGUGCUGGUGCUGGUGCU
This 2364-nucleotide unclassified non-coding RNA is filed under the name Hevea brasiliensis (rubber tree). The record is from RNAcentral. Lineage: Eukaryota; Viridiplantae; Streptophyta; Magnoliopsida; Malpighiales; Euphorbiaceae.